RNAcentral lists this ribosomal RNA (484 nucleotides) under uncultured Methanomicrobiales archaeon. RNAcentral describes it as "bacterial SSU rRNA". It matches the Rfam family "Archaeal small subunit ribosomal RNA", at positions 852 to 1338 of the family's 1478-position model. The record is from RNAcentral. Lineage: Archaea; Methanobacteriati; Methanobacteriota; Methanomicrobia; Methanomicrobiales.
AAACUUAAGGAAUUGACGGGGAGCACCACAACGGGUGGAGCUUGCGGUUUAAUUGGAUUCAACGCCGGAAAUCUUACGGGACCGACAGCAAUAUGAAGGCCAGACUGAAGACUUUGCCGGAUUAGCUGAGAGGUGGUGCAUGGCCGUCGUCAGUUCGUACUGUGAAGCAUCCUGUUAAGUCAGGCAACGAGCGAGACCCACGCCAACAGUUGCCAGCUCGUCCUCCGGGAUGGUGGGGACACUGUUGGGACCGCCUCUGCUAAAGAGGAGGAAGGAAUGGGCAACGGUAGGUCAGCAUGCCCCGAAUUAUCUGGGCUACACGCGGGCUACAAUGGGUGGGACAAUGGGUAUCGACACCGAAAGGUGAAGGCAAUCUCCUAAACCCAUCCGUAGUUCGGAUUGUGGGCUGCAACUCGCCCACAUGAAGCUGGAAUCUGUAGUAAUCGUGUCUCAAAAUGGCACGGUGAAUAUGUCCCUGCUCCUU